UACGUAGGAUGCAAGCGUUAUCCGGAAUGACUGGGCGUAAAGGGUGCGUAGGUGGUUUGGCAAGUUGGUAGCGUAAUUCCGGGGCUUAACUCCGGAACUACUACCAAAACUGUUGAACUUGAGUGCAGGAGGGGCAUGUGGAAUUCCUAGUGUAGCGGUGGAAUGCGUAGAUAUUAGGAGGAACACCAGUGGCGAAGGCGACAUGCUGGACUGUAACUGACACUGAGGCACGAAAGCGUGGGGAGCAAACAGG
Molecule: ribosomal RNA, 253 nt
Filed under: uncultured bacterium
Lineage: Bacteria
Description: partial 16S ribosomal RNA
Rfam family: Bacterial small subunit ribosomal RNA
Source: RNAcentral